This 216-nucleotide long non-coding RNA is filed under the name Vicia faba (fava bean). Lineage: Eukaryota; Viridiplantae; Streptophyta; Magnoliopsida; Fabales; Fabaceae. The record is from RNAcentral.
AUGAUUUUGGUUGAUUCUAAGACAACGAAAGUGAAGGAUACCGGUUCUGCGGUUAAAAAUGUGUUAUCGGUUAUUGAAUCUUUGAAGAAGCAAGUAGCUAUGAAACAUAUUGUUUCACUCAAGAAUCUAAACAAUAGACAAAAGCUUGGCUGUGAGAAGGGAACUGGUAUCGAUAGAGCAAGGAUGAAUAUGACAAAAAAUUCAGGGAUCUCAUGA